RNAcentral lists this long non-coding RNA (500 nucleotides) under Parus major (Great Tit). RNAcentral's name for it is "lncRNA (ENSPMJG00000004483.1)". Lineage: Eukaryota; Metazoa; Chordata; Aves; Passeriformes; Paridae. The record is from RNAcentral.
UGGGACCCCUCCUCAAACUGGGACCCCUCCCCAAAAUGGGACCCCUCCCCAAAAUGGGAGACCCCUCCCCAAAAUGGGACCCCCCUUGGAAUGAGACCCCUCCCCAAAACUGAGACCCCUCCCCAUUGGGGUUGGGGGUCCCAGAUUUGGGGGGGUGCAGCCCCCUCCCCACUGGGUUGGGGGUCCAGGAUUUGGGGUGCAGCCCCCUCCCCACUGGGUUGGGGGUCCAGGAUUUGGGGUGCAGCCCCCUCCCCACUGGUCUGGGGGUCCCCAGGCCCUGGAUUUGGGGUGCAGCCCCCUCCCCACUUUGUUAGGGGUCUGGGAUUUGGGGUGCAGCCCCCUCCCCACUGGUCUGGGGGUCUCCAGGACCCAAGGGGGGUGCAGCCCCCUCCCCACUGGUCUGGGGGUCCCCAGGCCCUGGAUUGGGGGUGCAGCCCCCUCCCCAGUGACGCCCCCUCCCCAGAUGGACGCCGAUUUCGUCCCCGAGGGUCCCCCCGACC